RNAcentral lists this ribosomal RNA (503 nucleotides) under uncultured bacterium. RNAcentral describes it as "partial 16S ribosomal RNA". It matches the Rfam family "Bacterial small subunit ribosomal RNA", at positions 30 to 523 of the family's 1533-position model. The record is from RNAcentral.
AUUGAACGCUGGCGGCAGGCUUAACACAUGCAAGUCGAGCGGGGUGAUGGUGCUUGCACUAUCACUUAGCGGCGGACGGGUGAGUAAUGCUUAGGAAUCUGCCUAUUAGUGGGGGACAACAUCUCGAAAGGGAUGCUAAUACCGCAUACGUCCUACGGGAGAAAGCAGGGGAUCACUUGUGACCUUGCGCUAAUAGAUGAGCCUAAGUCGGAUUAGCUAGUUGGUGGGGUAAAGGCCUACCAAGGCGACGAUCUGUAGCGGGUCCGAGAGGAUGAUCCGCCACACUGGGACUGGGACACGGCCCAGACUCCUACGGGGGGCAGCAGUGGGGAAUAUUGGACAAUGGGGGGAACCCUGAUCCAGCCAUGCCGCGUGUGUGAAGAAGGCCUUAUGGUUGUAAAGCACUUUAAGCGAGGAGGAGGCUCUUUUGGUUAAUACCCAAGAUGAGUGGACGUUACUCGCAGAAUAAGCACCGGCUAACUCUGUGCCAGCAGCCGCCGUAA